This 408-nucleotide ribosomal RNA is filed under the name uncultured microorganism. Its description in RNAcentral is "bacterial SSU rRNA". It matches the Rfam family "Bacterial small subunit ribosomal RNA", at positions 509 to 916 of the family's 1533-position model. The record is from RNAcentral.
CAGCAGCCGCGGUAAUACGUAGGGGGCAAGCGUUGUCCUGAAUUAUUGGGCGUAAAGCGCGCGCAGGCGGUCGGGUAAGUCUGAUGUUAAAGCCCGGGGCUCAACCCCGGUUCGCAUUGGAAACUGCUCGACUUGAGUGCAGAAGAGGAAAGCGGAAUUCCACGUGUAGCGGUGAAAUGCGUAGAGAUGUGGAGGAACACCAGUGGCGAAGGCGGCUUUCUGGUCUGUAACUGACGCUGAGGCGCGAAAGCGUGGGGAGCAAACAGGAUUAGAUACCCUGGUAGUCCACGCCGUAAACGAUGAGUGCUAGGUGUUGGGGGUUUCAACACCCUCAGUGCCGCAGCUAACGCAAUAAGCACUCCGCCUGGGGAGUACGCUCGCAAGAGUGAAACUUAAAGGAAUUGGCGG